Molecule: non-coding RNA, 133 nt
Filed under: Sporomusa sp. An4
Lineage: Bacteria; Bacillati; Bacillota; Negativicutes; Selenomonadales; Sporomusaceae
Description: Bacterial small subunit ribosomal RNA
Rfam family: Bacterial small subunit ribosomal RNA
Source: Rfam by way of RNAcentral
UUUAUGGAGAGUUUGAUCCUGGCUCAGGACGAACGCUGGCGGCGUGCCUAACACAUGCAAGUCGAACGGGGAGUUACUUGUAACUCCUAGUGGCGAACGGGUGAGUAACGCGUAGACAACCUGCCUCUAAAUU